UUUUGAUUUCAAAGAUAUAAUUUCAUUAAAGUUUUCUGAACAAAUUGGUUAAGUCAGCUCUGCUUAGCCUGAAUUCUGCUUGGAAAACUGAAAGAGAGGUCAGACGUGCAAAGACCACUUCAGCUUGUGACCUUCACUAUAGUCAGCAAGGUUGCUUAAACUUCAGGCUUCAUCACUAAGUUGAAAUGACACAGGAAAACCUGAAAUGGCUCUUUAGGUCCGCCAUCACAACAGCCAUGAAACCUGGACUGUUCAACCCUUGCUGUAUAUUCACUGGACAUGGCUAAUGCACCUUCUGAACAACCCAGAUUUUCAGAGGACCUUGAAGAAAACCUGCACCAGUCUUCAGGACUAUAGAGAACGUGAAUCCUUGAGCGCUUUCUGGUCUAGGGUGUCUUAGAGUGCCUUGCUUCCUCACCACUCAGCUCUUCCAGUAGAUUCAGAGAAUGUCG
This 452-nucleotide long non-coding RNA is filed under the name Anser brachyrhynchus (Pink-footed goose). RNAcentral describes it as "lncRNA (ENSABRG00000012897.1)". Lineage: Eukaryota; Metazoa; Chordata; Aves; Anseriformes; Anatidae. The record is from RNAcentral.